CCCCAGAUGUUGCUGAACUACAACUCCCACGAUUCUCUGGCUAUCUAUGUAAUUCAAAGAAUCAUGGGAGUUGUAUUUCAGCAACAUCUGGGG
This is a non-coding RNA of Pelobates cultripes (western spadefoot toad), 93 nucleotides long. NCBI's taxonomy places the organism in Eukaryota, Metazoa, Chordata, Amphibia, Anura, Pelobatidae. The record is from the annotation of a GenBank genome assembly.